AUGCCUUGCUCUUCACAGUACUUCAAGAAGGCUGUCGAAGUAUACUCCCCACCUCUGUCUGAUCGAAGAGCUUUGAUGUGUCUGUCUGUUGCUUUCUCCACUAUUAUCUUAAACUUCUUGAAUACUUCGAAGGCUUCUGACUUUUCUUUCAGAAAAUACACCCAAGUUUUCCUUGAGAAAUCAUCAAUAAAGGAUAUAAAGUACUUUUUUCCACUGAAGGAUUCUGGGAUAAUUGAUCCAUAUAUGUCAGUGUGA
Molecule: non-coding RNA, 255 nt
Organism: Vicia faba (fava bean)
Lineage: Eukaryota; Viridiplantae; Streptophyta; Magnoliopsida; Fabales; Fabaceae
Source: the annotation of a GenBank genome assembly